GCGUUGUUCGGAAUUACUGGGCGUAAAGCGCACGUAGGCGGAUCUUUAAGUCAGGGGUGAAAUCCCGAGGCUCAACCUCGGAACUGCCUUUGAUACUGGGGAUAUCGAGUCCGGGAGAGGUGAGUGGAACUGCGAGUGUAGAGGUGAAAUUCGUAGAUAUUCGCAAGAACACCAGUGGCGAAGGCGGCUCACUGGCCCGGUACUGACGCUGAGGUGCGAAAGCGUG
Molecule: ribosomal RNA, 226 nt
Filed under: uncultured bacterium
Lineage: Bacteria
Description: partial 16S ribosomal RNA
Rfam family: Bacterial small subunit ribosomal RNA
Source: RNAcentral